GAAAAUCUUCAGGGCAAGGUGAUUUCUUUCCUUUAGUAGAAGGAAAGAAAAAUUCCUGACCGGCGGUAAAAGUCCGCGACUUCUCCGUUACGCAUACGGGGAACUGAUAUGGUGCAAAUCCAUAACCGACAGUAAAGUCUGGAUGAAAGAGGAUGCUG
This 158-nucleotide non-coding RNA is filed under the name Lentisphaerota bacterium. RNAcentral's name for it is "Lentisphaerae bacterium FMN sequence". It matches the Rfam family "FMN riboswitch aptamer (RFN element)". From Rfam's summary of the family: The RFN element is a highly conserved domain that is found frequently in the 5'-untranslated regions of prokaryotic mRNAs that encode for flavin mononucleotide (FMN) biosynthesis and transport proteins. Lineage: Bacteria; Pseudomonadati; Lentisphaerota. The record is from RNAcentral.